CGGAGGCAGCAGUAAGGAAUUUUGGACAAUGGGCGAAAGCCUGAUCCAGCAAUGCCGCGUGCAGGAUGAAGGCCUUCGGGUUGUAAACUGCUUUUGUACGGAACGAAAAGUCUCGGGAUAAUACCCUGGGACCAUGACGGUACCGUAAGAAUAAGCACCGGCUAACUACGUGCCAGCAGCCGCGGUAAUACGUAGGGUGCAAGCGUUAAUCGGAAUUACUGGGCGUAAAGCGUGCGCAGGCGGUUAUAUAAGACAGAUGUGAAAUCCCCGGGCUCAACCUGGGAACUGCAUUUGUGACUGUAUAGCUAGAGUACGGCAGAGGGGGAUGGAAUUCCGCGUGUAGCAGUGAAAUGCGUAGAUAUGCGGAGGAACACCGAUGGCGAAGGCAAUCCCCUGGACCUGUACUGACGCUCAUGCACGAAAGCGUGGGGAGCAAACAGGAUUAGAUACCCGUGUAGUCCA
Molecule: ribosomal RNA, 462 nt
Filed under: uncultured bacterium
Lineage: Bacteria
Description: bacterial SSU rRNA
Rfam family: Bacterial small subunit ribosomal RNA
Source: RNAcentral